AAUGAACGUUGGCGGCGUGGAUUAGGCAUGCAAGUCGUGCGGAAAGGCUCCUUCGGGAGUACUCGAGCGGCGACAGGGAGAGUAACGCGUGGAUAUCUACCACCUGGCCUGGGAAAGCGGCGGGAAACUGCCGGUAAUACCAGAGAAAAACUGCGGAUGAAAGGUGAGAUGCCGCCGGGGGAUGAGUCCGCGUCCUCUUCGCUAGUUGGUGAGGUAAGGGCGCACCAAGGCUGAGAUGGGUACCGGGUGUGAGGAGCAUGGCCCGGCUCACUGGGACUGAGACACUGCCCAGACACCUACGGGUGGCUGCAGUCGAGAAUCUUCGGCGAUGGGCGCAAGCCUGACCGAGCGACGCCGCGUGCGGGAUGAAGGCCUUCGGGUUGUAAACCGCUGUCAGAGGGGAGGAAAUGCAUGGGGGUUCUCCCUCAUGUUUGACCUAUCCUCAGAGGAAGUACGGGCUAAGUUCGUGCCAGCAGCCGCCGUAA
RNAcentral lists this ribosomal RNA (485 nucleotides) under uncultured bacterium. RNAcentral's name for it is "partial 16S ribosomal RNA". It matches the Rfam family "Bacterial small subunit ribosomal RNA", at positions 28 to 523 of the family's 1533-position model. The record is from RNAcentral.